Molecule: long non-coding RNA, 984 nt
Filed under: Gadus morhua (Atlantic cod)
Lineage: Eukaryota; Metazoa; Chordata; Actinopteri; Gadiformes; Gadidae
Description: lncRNA (ENSGMOG00000028928.1)
Source: RNAcentral
UAGUUCAGGGUUAUGAACAUAGUUUAGGGUUAUUGACAUCGUUUUUUUUUGCAAAUCAGAUUUAAUGACCUACAUCGUAGAGUUUGCGGGUUUCAGAAACAUAAAAUGAACACCAAUACUAACUAUGUUAACACUAAAUACUAUUUAGGACCACUCGGUUAGCCAUCAGACCAUUGUAGUGUUAUUAGCGACCCCUUCUCUGAAUCAGUGCUUUGGUUAAUCCCUGGCAGGUCCGCAGGAAACAGUUUAAUUUAGCUGUAGCUUGAUAGCAUGAGCUAACGAUGGGUUCAUAUCAACCCGGAACAUACUACUGUUUCCCCCAAUCAAGGACAAAACAUAACAUGCUGGCUCUGCUAAUGCGCUCAGAUUAGAUAGAACAUAAAAUCGUAAAAACCUGAUUAUCCGACCUUUAAAUUAUAGUUUAUCCCCGUUUAAUUUGACACAAACAUUUAAUUUCCGAGAUGGUUGAACGCGGCACAAAAACGGAUGGUUGUGGCCAGAGCUAUAGAGAGUUGCGACACGCUAUGAUCUCGCCGACAGGGUGGUCACGUGGUUGUCACGUGGUUCAUGUAAGCCUCAAUAGUUCCAAACACGCCGCGCAGUCAAUGUUAUUCUAUGGGACGACAGCAGAGAUUUCAAUAUUGAAUGAUCAAUGGUCAUACCAUGGUUGGCUGUGCAGCGUUUGGAUGCUCCAAUCGGUCCGAGAAGGGUUACCACAUGUAUGGCUUCCCCAAGGACCAAGAGCGCAGGAAGAAAUGGAUGGCAAUGGUCAGCCGUCAAAACUUAAAGUGACAGGGGUCAGCAACAGUCAAAAACGAUGUAAUGUACACUUUGAACUAAUUCACUGCCACAAAAAGAGAAGGGAUGUUGAAGCUGAGGCCCGAUGCAGUACCAACAGUUUUCAUUCAUCGCCCUAAGCCGAAGAGGAGGAAACCCCCUUCUGUGAGGGUGCCUCCAGAACCAAGUGCAACGGACCACACAUAU